AGUGAACGCUGGCGGUAGGCCUAACACAUGCAAGUCGAACGGCAGCACAGUAAGAGCUUGCUCUUACGGGUGGCGAGUGGCGGACGGGUGAGGAAUACAUCGGAAUCUACUUUUUCGUGGGGGCUAACGUAGGGAAACUUACGCUAAUACCGCAUACGACCUACGGGUGAAAGCAGGGGAUCUUCGGACCUUGCGCGAUUGGAUGAGCCGAUGUCGGAUUAGCUAGUUGGCGGGGUAAAGGCCCACCAAGGCGACGAUCCGUAGCUGGUCUGAGAGGAUGAUCAGCCACACUGGAACUGAGACACGGUCCAGACUCCUACGGGAGGACGCAGUGGGGAAUAUUGGACAAGGGGCGCAAGCCUGAUCCAGCCAUACCGCGUGGGUGAAGAAGGCCUUCGGGUUGUAAAGCCCUUUUGUUGGGAAAGAAAAGCAGCAGGUUAAUACCCCGCUGUUCUGACGGUACCCAAAGAAUAAGCACCGGCUAACUUCGUG
Molecule: ribosomal RNA, 492 nt
Filed under: uncultured bacterium
Lineage: Bacteria
Description: partial 16S ribosomal RNA
Rfam family: Bacterial small subunit ribosomal RNA
Source: RNAcentral